Molecule: long non-coding RNA, 653 nt
Organism: Oryzias melastigma (Indian medaka)
Lineage: Eukaryota; Metazoa; Chordata; Actinopteri; Beloniformes; Adrianichthyidae
Exons: 2
Source: RefSeq, a predicted model, not a curated record
ACAUAUUUAAAGUAAAUUGCAUAUGUGAGCAUUUUUUUUUAUUGAAAUUGUUGUGAAUCAGAAGCAGACAAUAAGAAUUCAGUGAGAAAAAGAUCAUAUUUGUGACGUAGGAGCUCCUUGAUUAUCCACUUGUUGAAAAAUAGAUCCAUGUACGCCUUUGUUUUCCUCAUCUGGCUCAAAAUUGUACAUCUGGAUUGCUCCAAUAUUGCUCAAUGUUUUUGUCACAUUCCGGUAACGUAAAUGUGAAUUCUUCCCCUACCCCUAAAGCUUCUUAAUGGGGUAGAGAAUGGCCAACAAUAGUUUUUUUUUAAGGGCCAACCCUCGCCGCGGACGGCUGCGUAUCCCUCCGCCGCGAGGUGGGCAAGAAGCGCUUUUCUUCACAUGGGUGAGCUCUGAAGAACAGAAGUUUACAUUUAAAUUCCUCAGUCUCACCAGAAACGCGGCGAUGGCCCCACCCGUCACAAAUCCAGCCAGGAUGUCGUUCCAGUGGUUUCUGUGCUCGGUCACCCUCACCACCCCCACCAGCACAGCCAGAGACAGAAGCACCAGGCACAAGGUGGGCUUCAUCAGGCGUGUCCCUUUGGUCUGAAACACCAGAGUCACGUACAUCUGGAAGACAAAAAACGAAGCCAGUAAAACAAAAGAAAAAAAAA